Molecule: ribosomal RNA, 450 nt
Filed under: uncultured bacterium
Lineage: Bacteria
Description: bacterial SSU rRNA
Rfam family: Bacterial small subunit ribosomal RNA
Source: RNAcentral
GUUCCAGACUCCUACGGGAGGCAGCAGUGGGGAAUAUUGCACAAUGGGGGGAACCCUGAUGCAGCGACGCCGCGUGGGUGAAGGAGCACCUCGGUGCGUAAAGCCCUAUCGGCAGGGAAGAAACAGACGGUACCUGACUAAGAAGCCCCGGCUAACUACGUGCCAGCAGCCGCGGUAAUAGGUAGGGGGCAAGCGUUAUCCGGAUUCACUGGGUGUAAAGGGAGCGUAGACGGCGACGCAAGUCUGGAGUGAAAGCCCGGGGCCCAACCCCGGGACUGCUCUGGAAACUGCGGCGCUGGAGUACGGGAGGGGCAGGCGGAAUUCCUGGUGUAGCGGUGAAAUGCGUAGAUAUCAGGAGGAACACCGGCGGCGAAGGCGGCCUGCUGGACCGCAACUGACGUUGAGGCCCGAAAGCGUGGGGAGCAAACAGGAUUAGAUACCCUAGUACGA